Molecule: long non-coding RNA, 2496 nt
Organism: Triticum dicoccoides
Lineage: Eukaryota; Viridiplantae; Streptophyta; Magnoliopsida; Poales; Poaceae
Exons: 4
Source: RefSeq, a predicted model, not a curated record
UAUUGCCUCUAGGGCAUAUUUCCUUCAGGCACAACUCCUUGUCAUGGGACCUAAAUAGAUAUUUUUUGUAGAAGCUUCAUUGGAUAGCUGAGAUUUAUCAUGAGGUGAAGAUGAUAAACGUGGUGAACCUGAGAUGUCAUUAUCGGUCUUACAAAGAUUAGACUAGCCACAAUGAGAGUAACAUAGAUGAUAACAUCACACAUAUCUAAACAAAAUAGAUGAUGUGACAAAUAAUUAAUGAAGAAAAAAAUACAUGUGAUAACAUACCUAGUUAGUCAUAAUAUGAGUAGCAUCACACAUACCAAAACAAGGUGGAUCUAUAACCUAAUAAAUAAAGUGUUGCAUAACGAGAGUGGCGUUUUGGUGGCCGAGCUACCUGCAGGCCGGAAUCUGGCGCCGUCUAGUAUAGCACCGCGAUGUGUGCUGGUAUGUUUCAUCGCUUGUAUAGGCUGGCUGUUAAGAUGGAAUACACCAGUGCCAUGGGCUGGGGUGCUAUCAUUGUACGUGGGCCUCAAGUACACAUGGUUACGCAUGCACCUCAUGUGCCUGCUGGGCUACUUUGAAAAUCGCACAUGUAGCUGACAGUAGGUUGGGCUGUUGCGAAAUUAAUUUUCAGUUUGAUGGGCCCAUCUGACGCUGCAGGUGCUUAUUUUAUUUUUUCCCGGUUAGACCAUUCAUCGCCUUCGCCUGGUAGCUGGUCAAGCGGCGGUUCGCCAUGGACGGCCUGGAAUUCUUCUUGAGGAAGUAGAAUCAGGAUUGGUUCCUAGGGUGGAUGCUGGUGAUAUUUUGGGGGUGGAAUCGAUGCCGUGGAGUCCGUGGUUGCUUCCAUCCAUGAAGCUUGUGGGCGCUCCACGGAUUUGAUCUCUUUCGAUCCCAUGGCAGGCAGUGGUGGCGAAGGGCAGUUCCAGAGUUGGAGGAUAAUGUUAGUGAGGUGGUUGGUGACUCAAAUGACAUGGCCCCAUAGGAUACCACCAAUGCAGCUGUUGUAGAGGAUCAACAACUCAAAGGGCUCCUGCUGGACUCGUCGACCAAACUUUUGAAUGGAGGUUGCCAUAGCAAAUGUCAUGCCGGAGAUAGCCCAUCGAUGGUGCAAAUGGCAUGUGUUGAAAAAGCAAACGAGUGCCUUUGGCCGCUGCUAGGCAAGGGUAGUGAAUUCAAAACAGAAGUUCAACAAGUUGGUGCAUCACAUGAUUAGUGAGAGAGUUUGAGGAUGGUUGGGCGUUUAUGCUUGAGAAGCUCUACAACAAAACACAUUUCGCACCCAAAUAUACAAGGUCCGGAUGAAGUGUUCUAAACCUUAUUUCAUGGAUGUUUUCUCUGCCAAAAUGACCAGCACGCAGCAGAGUGAAAACUGCAAACAUUUGCUCAAACCUGAACAAGGAAUACAUGCAUCCAAAAUUCACACGAUGACUAUGUUUGAAAAGUUUGGUGAGACGCUAUAUGAGGGUGGGUCAUAUAUUCUAAUUGAAUUUGUGCAUCGUCGCGAAUACAUAGCCAGGCAUGUAAAGAAGGAUUCCUAGGACAAGUGGUGUAAAAAUGAAUUCCUUGUUCAGGUGAAUAAGCUUGCUGAUGAAUUCAAGUGUGAGCGUGGAAUGUUUGAGCAUUUCGGCAUGGUGUGCAACCAUGCACUAAAGGUGAUGAUCCGGCUUGGCCGAAAGAGGUUCCAACAAAACACUUGCUGAAACGUUGGACAAGGGAUGCAAGGGAUAUACUCCCACCAGAGUUUCUGGCGCUACUAGAAGGACCAGGGACCUCUCAAAUACUCCUCGCGGCGACAUAACAAUCUGCAUAUGCUUUGCCUUGAAAUUGUUAGACUGGAUGACAGCAAUGUGGAUGCAUAUACUCUUGCAAUGGACCAACUAAGAAAUGCGUAAACAGUACUGGAGCCAGUGGCUGCCAUACGUGAUGAUAUGGGGUUGUCCGACAGAGAGAUGGCAGGUGAUUCUGCUUGUUCAGCUGUAGCACACAAGCAACAUUUUGGUCCAACGAAUCAGAUGCAAAGUGCCUCGCAAUGUUCAGAUAGUUCUGCAGCACCAUCAAAGAAGAGACCAGCAGGGCGCGCUACCACAAGAUGCGACAAAAGCGCCAUACGAACAGCCAGCUAAAAGGAUUAGGUUCUGUUCAAUAUGCAAGGGGCAAGCUCACAAAAGUAAUACAUGUCCUGAUGUCCACAACGUGGUUAUCUUCCAAAGGCGCCCAAGAAGCCACCUCGCUGCUCUAGGUGCAGCCUGAGGGGCCACAGAAGGAACACCUGCACCAACCCACCCAAAGCGGAUUUCAACGACUGAUUUCAUUUGGAUUUAAUGUUUGAAAAAUCGAACUUCAGACUGAAAAAUUAGAUGUUCGUUGCCUGAAAAAUACUGUGCAUGUAUCUGUGUUUUUGUGGUUGUCGGACUGCUAGCAUCUGUUCAGAAUUUUAGUAAAAUUAUGACUGUCUGAAUCACUAGUGUCGUUGUUGUUGGUAAAUCAUUUGGAGUGGCUGUGUACGCUAUGAGA